UCCCAGAUGCUUCUGUGCUGGAGGAGCCUA
This 30-nucleotide non-coding RNA is filed under the name Mus musculus (house mouse). The record is from RNAcentral. Lineage: Eukaryota; Metazoa; Chordata; Mammalia; Rodentia; Muridae.